CACAAGCGGAGGAGCAUGUGGUUUAAUUCGAUGAUACGCGAGGAACCUUACCUGGGCUCGAACGUAAGAUGACUGUAGGUGAAAGCUUACAUCUCUUCGGAGCAUUUUACGAGGUGCUGCAUGGUUGUCGUCAGCUCGUGCCGUGAGGUGUCGGGUUAAGUCCCAUAACGAGCGCAACCCCUACCUUUAGUUGCCAUCAGGUUAAGCUGGGGACUCUAAAGGAACUGCCUACGCAAGUAGUGAGGAAGCGGGGAUGACGUCAAAUCAGCACGGCCCUUACGUCCAGGGCUACACACGUGCUACAAUGGCCGAUACAGAGGGCAGCUACCUGGUGACAGGAUGCAAAUCUCCAAAGUCGGUCUCAGUUCGGAUCGGAGUCUGCAACCCGACUCCGUGAAGUUGGAUUCGCUAGUAAUCGCGCAUCAGCCAUGGCGCGGUGAAUACGUUCCCGGGCCUU
This 457-nucleotide ribosomal RNA is filed under the name uncultured Sphingobacteriales bacterium. RNAcentral describes it as "bacterial SSU rRNA". It matches the Rfam family "Bacterial small subunit ribosomal RNA", at positions 924 to 1382 of the family's 1533-position model. Lineage: Bacteria; Pseudomonadati; Bacteroidota; Sphingobacteriia; Sphingobacteriales. The record is from RNAcentral.